UUUCGCACCUCUGAAAAUGAAACUUCCUCAAAAGUCACACUAUUCAUAAGCUGAAAGCAACGUCACGUUCAUCAUUUGACAGCUGGUCGUCUUCACAGCGAUGGACGAAAUCUACGCUAACGUUGAAUAUGUGAAGUCUCAGGCUUCCGUAAGACCUUCAACACCUGCCCCAGGUAAGAAUGAUCAGUCUGUGCAUCUUCUCCUGACCAGUGUGCUGACUGGUCUUCAUGUGUCCAGGUCCCAGCAGCCCAAGAAGCAGACCUCAUGUGGCUGUUGCUGUCUCUCUGGGGCUGCUCAGUGUCCUCCUGCUGGCUGGACUCGUCUGUCUCGGUGUCCACGUGCAUGUCAGUGGAGACAAGCUGUCCUCAGUGUCUGCAGAGAGAGACCAGCUGAAGGACAAAGUCACUGCACUGACCCAAGAGAAGGACGGACUUCAGCUCUUGUUGAAACAGAAGAAAACGUGUCCUGAGGGGUGGACGAUGUUCAGAUGUUCCUGUUAUCUUCUCUCUACACGGGAUGAUUCCUGGGAAAAUGGCAGAAAGGACUGUGGAGACCAAGGAGCAGAUCUGGUGAUCAUAGACUCACUUGAAGAACAGGUAGUGUGAAGUUAUUUAUUGUUAUAUUCAGUUUUCCCCGUGUGACAAACUUUGGCAUUAACAAUUAAAGCCAAUUUGUCUUAAAGCUGCAUUCU
Non-coding RNA from Gasterosteus aculeatus aculeatus (three-spined stickleback), 691 nucleotides. The record is from RefSeq and is a predicted model, not a curated record. NCBI's taxonomy places the organism in Eukaryota, Metazoa, Chordata, Actinopteri, Perciformes, Gasterosteidae.